RNAcentral lists this ribosomal RNA (524 nucleotides) under uncultured bacterium. RNAcentral's name for it is "partial 16S ribosomal RNA". It matches the Rfam family "Bacterial small subunit ribosomal RNA", at positions 28 to 523 of the family's 1533-position model. The record is from RNAcentral.
GACGAACGCUGGCGGCGUGCCUAAUACAUGCAAGUCGAGCGCAGGAAACUGACGGAACUCUUCGGAGGGAAGGCAGUGGAAGGAGCGGCGGACGGGUGAGUAACACGUAAGGAACCUGCCUCAAGGAUUGGGAUAACUCCGAGAAAUCGGAGCUAAUACCGGAUAGUUCAACGGACCGCAUGGUCCGCUGAUGAAAGGCGCUCCGGCGUCACCUUGAGAUGGCCUUGCGGUGCAUUAGCUAGUUGGUGGGGUAACGGCCCACCAAGGCGACGAUGCAUAGCCGACCUGAGAGGGUGAUCGGCCACACUGGGACUGAGACACGGCCCAGACUCCUACGGGAGGCAGCAGUAGGGAAUCUUCCACAAUGGACGAAAGUCUGAUGGAGCAACGCCGCGUGAGUGAUGAAGGUUUUCGGAUCGUAAAACUCUGUUGUAAGGGAAGAACACGUACGAGAGGAAAUGCUCGUACCUUGACGGUACCGUACGAGAAAGCCACGGCUAACUACGUGCCAGCCGCCGCCGUAA